RNAcentral lists this ribosomal RNA (253 nucleotides) under uncultured bacterium. Its description in RNAcentral is "partial 16S ribosomal RNA". It matches the Rfam family "Bacterial small subunit ribosomal RNA", at positions 524 to 776 of the family's 1533-position model. The record is from RNAcentral.
UACGAAGGGGGCUAGCGUUGCUCGGAAUCACUGGGCGUAAAGCGCACGUAGGCGGAUCUUUAAGUCAGGGGUGAAAUCCUGGAGCUCAACUCCAGAACUGCCUUUGAUACUGGGGAUCUCGAGUCCGGAAGAGGUGAGUGGAAUUCCGAGUGUAGAGGUGAAAUUCGUAGAUAUUCGGAGGAACACCAGUGGCGAAGGCGGCUCACUGGUCCAUUACUGACGCUGAGGUGCGAAAGCGUGGGGAGCAAACAGG